GACGAACGCUGGCGGCGUGCCUAAUACAUGCAAGUUGAGCGCUGAAGGUUGGUACUUGUACCAACUGGAUGAGCAGCGAACGGGUGAGUAACGCGUGGGGAAUCUGCCUUUGAGCGGGGGACAACAUUUGGAAACGAAUGCUAAUACCGCAUAAAAACUUUAAACACAAGUUUUAAGUUUGAAAGAUGCAAUUGCAUCACUCAAAGAUGAUCCCGCGUUGUAUUAGCUAGUUGGUGAGGUAAAGGCUCACCAAGGCGAUGAUACAUAGCCGACCUGAGAGGGGGAUCGGCCACAUUGGGACUGAGACACGGCCCAAACUCCUACGGGAGGCAGCAGUAGGGAAUCUUCGGCAAUGGACGAAAGUCUGACCGAGCAACGCCGCGUGAGUGAAGAAGGUUUUCGGAUCGUAAAACUCUGUUGGUAGAGAAGAACGUUGGUGAGAGUGGAAAGCCCAUCAAGUGACGGUAACUACCCAGAAAGGGACGGCCAACUACGUG
This 497-nucleotide ribosomal RNA is filed under the name uncultured bacterium. RNAcentral describes it as "partial 16S ribosomal RNA". It matches the Rfam family "Bacterial small subunit ribosomal RNA", at positions 28 to 507 of the family's 1533-position model. The record is from RNAcentral.